UGAAAGUGCCACACCGCCCUUGAUGUGCCCGAUCUCAUCUGAUCUGGGAAGGUAAGCACGGUCGGGCCUGGUUAGUACUCGGUUGGGAGACUGACAGGGCAGUGCUGUCUUUAAUUAUGC
This 120-nucleotide ribosomal RNA is filed under the name Octodon degus (degu). The record is from RNAcentral. Lineage: Eukaryota; Metazoa; Chordata; Mammalia; Rodentia; Octodontidae.